This 361-nucleotide ribosomal RNA is filed under the name Bacillus licheniformis. RNAcentral's name for it is "bacterial SSU rRNA". It matches the Rfam family "Bacterial small subunit ribosomal RNA", at positions 1 to 352 of the family's 1533-position model. Lineage: Bacteria; Bacillati; Bacillota; Bacilli; Caryophanales; Bacillaceae. The record is from RNAcentral.
UUCAUGGAGAGUUUGAUCCUGGCUCAGGACGAACGCUGGCGGCGUGCCUAAUACAUGCAAGUCGAGCGGACCGACGGGAGCUUGCUCCCUUAGGUCAGCGGCGGACGGGUGAGUAACACGUGGGUAACCUGCCUGUAAGACUGGGAUAACUCCGGGAAACCGGGGCUAAUACCGGAUGCUUGAUUGAACCGCAUGGUUCAAUCAUAAAAGGUGGCUUUAGCUACCACUUACAGAUGGACCCGCGGCGCAUUAGCUAGUUGGUGAGGUAACGGCUCACCAAGGCGACGAUGCGUAGCCGACCUGAGAGGGUGAUCGGCCACACUGGGACUGAGACACGGCCCAGACUCCUACGGGAGGCAGC